Molecule: transfer RNA, 69 nt
Filed under: Ictidomys tridecemlineatus (thirteen-lined ground squirrel)
Lineage: Eukaryota; Metazoa; Chordata; Mammalia; Rodentia; Sciuridae
Description: Spermophilus tridecemlineatus (thirteen-lined ground squirrel) tRNA
Rfam family: tRNA
About the family: Transfer RNA (tRNA) molecules are approximately 80 nucleotides in length.
Source: Rfam by way of RNAcentral
GGGGUUGUGGCUCAGUGGUAGAGCGUUUGCCUGGCAUGUAUGAGGCGCUGGGUUCAAUUCUCAGCACCA